Molecule: ribosomal RNA, 314 nt
Filed under: Maricaulis sp.
Lineage: Bacteria; Pseudomonadati; Pseudomonadota; Alphaproteobacteria; Maricaulales; Maricaulaceae
Description: partial 23S ribosomal RNA
Rfam family: Bacterial large subunit ribosomal RNA
Source: RNAcentral
GUGAGCUGGGUUUAGAACGUCGUGAGACAGUUCGGUCCCUAUCUGCCGUGGGUGUUGGAAAUUUGAGAGGAGCUGCCCCUAGUACGAGAGGACCGGGGUGGACGUACCUCUGGUGGACCUGUUGUCGCGCCAGCGGCAUAGCAGGGUAGCUAUGUACGGAAGGGAUAACCGCUGAAUGCAUCUAAGCGGGAAGCCCCCCUCAAAACCAGAUUUCCCUUGAGAGUCGAGGAAGACUACCUCGUUGAUAGGCUAGGUGUGGAAGUGUGGCGACACAUGAAGCUUACUAGUACUAAUAUCUCGAUAGACUUGAUUUC